CCUACGGGUGACAGCAGUCGAGAAUCAUUCACAAUGGGGGAAACCCUGAUGGUGCGACGCCGCGUGGGGGAAUGAAGGUCUUCGGAUUGUAAACCCCUGUCAUGUGGGAGCAAAUUAAAAAGAUAGUACCCCAAGAGGAAGAGACGGCUAACUCUGUGCCAGCAGCCGCGGUAAUACAGAGGUCUCAAGCGUUGUUCGGAAUCACUGGGCGUAAAGCGUGCGUAGGCUGUUUCGUAAGUCGUGUGUGAAAGGCGCGGGCUCAACCCGCGGACGGCACAUGAUACUGCGAGACUAGAGUAAUGGAGGGGGAACCGGAAUUCUCGGUGUAGCAGUGAAAUGCGUAGAUAUCGAGAGGAACACUCGUGGCGAAGGCGGGUUCCUGGACAUUAACUGACGCUGAGGCACGAAGGCCAGGGGAGCGAAAGGGAUUAGAUACCCCUGUAGUC
RNAcentral lists this ribosomal RNA (446 nucleotides) under uncultured bacterium. RNAcentral describes it as "partial 16S ribosomal RNA". It matches the Rfam family "Bacterial small subunit ribosomal RNA", at positions 338 to 795 of the family's 1533-position model. The record is from RNAcentral.